This 497-nucleotide ribosomal RNA is filed under the name uncultured bacterium. RNAcentral describes it as "partial 16S ribosomal RNA". It matches the Rfam family "Bacterial small subunit ribosomal RNA", at positions 28 to 507 of the family's 1533-position model. The record is from RNAcentral.
GAUGAACGCUGGCGGCGUGCCUAAUACAUGCAAGUCGAGCGAACAGACGAGGCGCUUGCUCCUCUGACGUUAGCGGCGGACGGGUGAGUAACACGUGGAUAACCUACCUAUCAGACUGGGAUAACUUCGGGAAACCGGAGCUAAUACCGGAUAAUAUAUUGAACCGCAUGGUUCAAUAGUGAAAGACGGUUUUGCUGUCACUUAUAGAUGGAUCCGCGCCGCAUGAGCUAGUUGGUAAGGUAACGGCUUACCAAGGCAACGAUGCGUAGCCGACCUGAGAGGGUGGUAGGCCACACGGGAGCUGAGCCACGGUCCAGGCUCCUACGGGAGGCAGCAGUAGGGAACCGUCCGCAAUGGGCGAAAGCCUGACGGAGCAACGCCGCGUGAGUGAUGAAGGUCUUCGGAGCGUAAAACUCGGUUAUGAGGGAAGAACAAAUGUGUAAGUAACUAUGCACGUCUUGACGGUACCUAAUCAGAAAGCCACGGCUAACUACGUG